This 440-nucleotide ribosomal RNA is filed under the name uncultured bacterium. RNAcentral describes it as "partial 16S ribosomal RNA". It matches the Rfam family "Bacterial small subunit ribosomal RNA", at positions 338 to 795 of the family's 1533-position model. The record is from RNAcentral.
CCUACGGUAGGCAGCAGUGGGGAAUAUUGCACAAUGGGGGAAACCCUGAUGCAGCGACGCCGCGUGAAGGAAGAAGUAUUUCGGUAUGUAAACUUCUAUCAGCAGGGAAGAAAAUGACGGUACCUGACUAAGAAGCCCCGGCUAACUACGUGCCAGCAGCCGCGGUAAUACGUAGGGGGCAAGCGUUAUCCGGAUUUACUGGGUGUAACGGGAGCGUAGGCGGUUUAGCAAGUCAGAAGUGAAAGCCCGGGGAUCAACUCCGGGACUGCUUUUGAAACUGUUGAACUAGAUGGCAGGAGAGGUAAGUGGAAUUCCUAGUGUAGCGGUGAAAUGCGUAGAUAUUAGGAGGAACACCAGUGGCGAAGGCGGCUUACUGGACUGUAAAUGACGCUGAGGCUCGAAAGCGUGGGGAGCAAACAGGAUUAGAUACCCUGGUAGUC